This 99-nucleotide ribosomal RNA is filed under the name uncultured bacterium. RNAcentral describes it as "partial 16S ribosomal RNA". It matches the Rfam family "Bacterial small subunit ribosomal RNA", at positions 392 to 508 of the family's 1533-position model. The record is from RNAcentral.
CAACGCCGCGUGCGGGAUGAAGGCCCUCGGGUCGUAAACCGCUUUCAGCAGGGACGAAAUUGACGGUACCUGCAGAAGAAGCCCCGGCUAACUACGUGC